CACGUUCAGCGGACACGGGAGCAAGAUGGCGAUUCCGGGCAGGCAUAGAGACGGGGCUUCAUCAGGUUGGCCACGCUGAUCUCAAACUCCUGAGCUCAAGUGAUACGGCUGCCUCAGCCUCCCAAAGCGCUGGGAUUACAGACCUCUGUGAGUGAAAGCCUUCAGAGGGAAGCUGCUAAGAAGCAGGCCAUGAAACAGACCAAACUGGAAAUCCAGAAGGCCCUUGCAGAAGAUGCUACUGUGUAUGAAUAUGACAGUAUUUAUGAUGAAAUGCAGAAAAAAAAGGAGGAAAAUAAUCCCAAAUUGCUUUUGGGGAAAGACAGAAAGCCCAAGUAUAUUCACAACUUGCUAAAAGCAGUUGAGAUCAGAAAAAAGGAACAGGAAAAAAGAAUGGAAAAGAAAAUACAGAGAGAACGAGAAAUGGAAAAGGGGGAGUUUGAUGAUAAAGAAGCAUUUGUGACAUCUGCAUAUAAGAAAAAACUGCAAGAGAGAGCUGAAGAAGAAGAAAGAGAAAAGAGGGCUGCUGCACUGGAAGCAUGUUUGGAUGUAACCAAGCAGAAAG
Molecule: small RNA, 562 nt
Filed under: Pan troglodytes (chimpanzee)
Lineage: Eukaryota; Metazoa; Chordata; Mammalia; Primates; Hominidae
Description: processed transcript
Source: RNAcentral